Molecule: unclassified non-coding RNA, 281 nt
Filed under: Anthopsis sp.
Lineage: Eukaryota; Fungi; Ascomycota; Eurotiomycetes; Chaetothyriales; Cyphellophoraceae
Description: partial contains 5.8S ribosomal RNA, internal transcribed spacer 2, and large subunit ribosomal RNA
Source: RNAcentral
AACGCACCUUGCACCCUUUACGGGGUAUGCCUGUUUGAGAAUCUUUAGAUUUCUUCAUCCUUAUGGAUGAGAUUUGAGCUUCUUUACUAGCAAUAGUAAAUGGCUUUAAAUAAAUUGCAUUGUAAUUGAACGCUCAUAUUGCGACGCACAAAAGUGUAUGAAGGGCUUGCCCACUUCCUUUAGUGUUAGCAGUAGUUCUAUAUGGUGCCCAAUUAUUAAAGGACUCUUCGGAGGACUUGAACUUUGGUCUCAACUCAGGUAGGAAGACCCGCUGAACUUAA